AUUGAACGCUGGCGGAAUGCUUUACACAUGCAAGUCGAACGGCAGCACGGACUUCGGUCUGGUGGCGAGUGGCGAACGGGGUGAGUAAUAUAUCGGAACGUGCCCAGUCGUGGGGGGAUAACGUAGUGAAAAUUACGCUAAUACCGCAUACGAUCUAAGGAUGAAAGCGGGGGAUCGCAAGACCUCGCGCGAUUGGAGCGGCCGAUAUCAGAUUAGGUAGUUGGUGAGGUAAAGGCUCACCAAGCCCGCGAUCUGUAGCUGGUCUGAGAGGACGACCAGCCACACUGGAACUGAGACACGGUCCAGACUCCUACGGGAGGCAGCAGUGGGGAAUUUUGGACAAUGGACGCAAGUCUGAUCCAGCCAUUCCGCGUGCAGGAUGAAGGCCCUCGGGUUGUAAACUGCUUUUGUACGGAACGAAAAGGUCUCUCCUAAUACGAGGGGUUCAUGACGGUACCGUAAGAAUAAGCACCGGCUAACUACGUGCCAGCAGCCGCGGUAAUACGUAGGGUGCAAGCGUUAAUCGGAAUUACUGGGCGUAAAGCGUGCGCAGGCGGUUAUGUAAGACAGAGGUGAAAUCCCCGGGCUCAACCUGGGAACUGCCUUUGUGACUGCAUAGCUAGAGUACGGUAGAGGGGGAUGGAAUUCCGCGUGUAGCAGUGAAAUGCGUAGAUAUGCGGAGGGAACACCGAUGGCGGAAAGGCA
Molecule: ribosomal RNA, 705 nt
Filed under: Pseudomonadota bacterium
Lineage: Bacteria; Pseudomonadati; Pseudomonadota
Description: bacterial SSU rRNA
Rfam family: Bacterial small subunit ribosomal RNA
Source: RNAcentral